Cordylochernes scorpioides is the source of this 73-nucleotide non-coding RNA. NCBI's taxonomy places the organism in Eukaryota, Metazoa, Arthropoda, Arachnida, Pseudoscorpiones, Chernetidae. The record is from the annotation of a GenBank genome assembly.
UCCAGGGUAGCCUAGUGGACAUGGCAUCUGCCCGGUAAGCGGAAGGUCGUGGGUUCGUUUCGCGCCCCUGGAC